AUUUUUAGGUUAAGUUAGAAAGGGCGCACGGUGGAUGCCUUGGCACUAGGAGCCGAUGAAG
RNAcentral lists this ribosomal RNA (61 nucleotides) under Bacillus sp. OG2. RNAcentral's name for it is "partial 23S ribosomal RNA". Lineage: Bacteria; Bacillati; Bacillota; Bacilli; Caryophanales; Bacillaceae. The record is from RNAcentral.